RNAcentral lists this ribosomal RNA (336 nucleotides) under Triticum aestivum (bread wheat). RNAcentral describes it as "partial small subunit ribosomal RNA". Lineage: Eukaryota; Viridiplantae; Streptophyta; Magnoliopsida; Poales; Poaceae. The record is from RNAcentral.
AUCGUCUACUGUGACAACGUCUCCGCUGUCUACCUCUCCGCCAACCCCGUCCACCAUCGCCGUACGAAGCAUAUUGAGCUCGACAUUCACUUCGUUCGCGAGCAGGUGGCUCUCGGGAAGGUUCGUGUUCUGCACGUUCCUACCACUCAGCAGUUUGCCGAUGUCAUGACUAAGGGACUAGCGACCCCAGUCUUCGAGGAGUUUCGGUCCAGUCUCUGUGUCUCCGGCGACGCUUCAACUGCGGGGGGUGUUGAGCGUACACUGCAUAUGUAUAGGACUAGGGUCUGUAUUUAUACCGUUGUAUCUCUCUCUCCCCCAUAUAUUUGUACAUCUUGA